Molecule: ribosomal RNA, 1035 nt
Filed under: uncultured Actinomycetes bacterium
Lineage: Bacteria; Bacillati; Actinomycetota; Actinomycetes
Description: bacterial SSU rRNA
Rfam family: Bacterial small subunit ribosomal RNA
Source: RNAcentral
UCGCGGCCUAUCAGCUUGUUGGUGAGGUAAUGGCUCACCAAGGCGACGACGGGUAGCCGGCCUGAGAGGGUGACCGGCCACACUGGGACUGAGACACGGCCCAGACUCCUACGGGAGGCAGCAGUGGGGAAUAUUGCACAAUGGGCGAAAGCCUGAUGCAGCGACGCCGCGUGAGGGAUGACGGCCUUCGGGUUGUAAACCUCUUUCAGUAGGGAAGAAGCGAAAGUGACGGUACCUGCAGAAGAAGCGCCGGCUAACUACGUGCCAGCAGCCGCGGUAAUACGUAGGGCGCAAGCGUUAUCCGGAAUUAUUGGGCGUAAAGAGCUCGUAGGCGGUUUGUCGCGUCUAUCGUGAAAGUCCGAGGCUCAACCUCGGAUCUGCGGUGGGUACGGGCAGACUAGAGUGAUGUAGGGGAGACUGGAAUUCCUGGUGUAGCGGUGAAAUGCGCAGAUAUCAGGAGGAACACCGAUGGCGAAGGCAGGUCUCUGGGCAUUAACUGACGCUGAGGAGCGAAAGCAUGGGGAGCGAACAGGAUUAGAUACCCUGGUAGUCCAUGCCGUAAACGUUGGGCACUAGGUGUGGGGGACAUUCCACGUUUUCCGCGCCGUAGCUAACGCAUUAAGUGCCCCGCCUGGGGAGUACGGCCGCAAGGCUAAAACUCAAAGGAAUUGACGGGGGCCCGCACAAGCGGCGGAGCAUGCGGAUUAAUUCGAUGCAACGCGAAGAACCUUACCAAGGCUUGACAUGUGCCAGACCGCCGUGGAAACACGGUUUCCCCUUUGGGGCUGGUUCACAGGUGGUGCAUGGUUGUCGUCAGCUCGUGUCGUGAGAUGUUGGGUUAAGUCCCGCAACGAGCGCAACCCUCGUUCUAUGUUGCCAGCACGUGAUGGUGGGGACUCAUAGGAGACUGCCGGGGUCAACUCGGAGGAAGGUGGGGACGACGUCAAAUCAUCAUGCCCCUUAUGUCUUGGGCUUCACGCAUGCUACAAUGGCCGGUACAAUGGGUUGCGAUACUGUGAGGUGGAGCUAAUCCCA